RNAcentral lists this ribosomal RNA (253 nucleotides) under uncultured bacterium. RNAcentral describes it as "partial 16S ribosomal RNA". It matches the Rfam family "Bacterial small subunit ribosomal RNA", at positions 524 to 776 of the family's 1533-position model. The record is from RNAcentral.
UACGUAGGGGGCAAGCGUUGUCCGGAAUCAUUGGGCGUAAAGCGCGCGUAGGCGGCCCGGUAAGUCCGUUGUGAAAGUCAAAGGCUCAACCGUUGAACGCCGAUGGAUACUGCCGGGCUAGAGUCCGGAAGAGGCGAGUGGAAUUCCUGGUGUAGCGGUGGAAUGCGCAGAUAUCAGGAGGAACACCAAUAGCGAAGGCAGCUCGCUGGGACGGUACUGACGCUGAGGCGCGAAAGCGUGGGGAGCGAACAGG